UUUAACUGAAGAGUUUGAUCAUGGCUCAGAUUGAACGCUGGCGGCAGGCUUAACACAUGCAAGUCGAGCGGGGGAAGGUAGCUUGCUACCGGACCUAGCGGCGGACGGGUGAGUAAUGCUUAGGAAUCUGCCUAUUAGUGGGGGACAACAUCUCGAAAGGGAUGCUAAUACCGCAUACGUCCUACGGGAG
This 190-nucleotide ribosomal RNA is filed under the name Acinetobacter baumannii. RNAcentral's name for it is "partial 16S ribosomal RNA". It matches the Rfam family "Bacterial small subunit ribosomal RNA", at positions 1 to 188 of the family's 1533-position model. Lineage: Bacteria; Pseudomonadati; Pseudomonadota; Gammaproteobacteria; Moraxellales; Moraxellaceae. The record is from RNAcentral.